RNAcentral lists this ribosomal RNA (375 nucleotides) under uncultured bacterium. RNAcentral describes it as "bacterial SSU rRNA". It matches the Rfam family "Bacterial small subunit ribosomal RNA", at positions 524 to 898 of the family's 1533-position model. The record is from RNAcentral.
UACGGAGGAUGCGAGCGUUAUCCGGAUUUAUUGGGUUUAAAGGGUGCGUAGGCGGCUGAUUAAGUCGGAUGUGAAAUCCCUGAGCUUAACUUAGGAAUUGCAUUCGAUGCUGGUCAGCUAGAGUAUGGGAGAGGAUGGUAGAAUUCCAGGUGUAGCGGUGAGAUGCGUAGAGAUCUGGAGGAAUACCGAUGGCGAAGGCAGCCAUCUGGCCUAAUACUGACGCUGAGGUACGAAAGCAUGGUGAGCAAACAGGAUUAGAUACCCUGGUAGUCCAUGCCGUAAACGAUGUCUACUAGCCGUUGGGGCCUUUGAGGCUUUAGUGGCGCAGCUAACGCGAUAAGUAGACCGCCUGGGGAGUACGGUCGCAAGACUAAA